This 3605-nucleotide unclassified non-coding RNA is filed under the name Portunus trituberculatus (swimming crab). RNAcentral's name for it is "tropomodulin-like, transcript variant X6". Lineage: Eukaryota; Metazoa; Arthropoda; Malacostraca; Decapoda; Portunidae. The record is from RNAcentral.
UCAGAUUUGGGUGUUCAUUCCCUUCUCGGCGAGCAAAGCGUCGGGGAGUCUCGCCGUCGUGAUAUUUUGACGUGUUGACGCUUUGAGAAGUGCGUGUUUGUGGAUCGUCUACGUAGCAUAACACGAGCCCCGUGCAGAGCUCCCCGACGUUAACGAGGCUUUACAGACUUUGAAAGUGAAUUGAAGGAAGCAAAAACACAAACUUUAAAAAAAUGGAGUUGGAAAUCACGCAAAGAACAGUCUCCCACAAGGUGACCAAGAUCACCACGAAGGAGGAAUACUACCAGACAAAGAAGCCUCAUGAAAUGGCGAGCACCAAGCUCUUCGGCAAGGACCUGAGUCAGUAUGAGGAACUUGACAUUGAUGACAUCCUGGACCAGCUUUCCCCGGAGGAGCUGGAGAUGCUGGCCGGGGAGGUGGACCCUGAUGACUCCUUGAUCCCUCCAAGUGAACGCAACAGCUACAAGUGUGAGAAGGGACCCACAGGACCUCUAGAUCGCAAGAAGCUAAUUGACCACAUCAAUGAACAGGCCCUCAAUGAACCAGAUAGGCCAGACCUCGUGCCUUAUGUUGCCGGCACUGUCAGAGGGAAGAAGUGGGUUGCCCCGCCGCCCCCGGAGCCCCAGGAUGACGAGGAUGCCAUUGCCCAGGAGGUGGAGGUGGAUCUUGAUGAAGAGUUCUCCUCCGUCCUCAACACUGCCACAGAGGAUGAGAUUGUGGACUUGGCAGCUAUCCUGGGCUUCCACUCCAUGAUGAACCAGGAACAGUACCACGCGUCUCUGCUCAACAAGGGCCGACCGCAGGGUGUUGGCUGGGGAGGCAUUACAAAAGCCACUAAGUUCAAGCCUCUCCCUGCUGAGCCUCCCAAUGACACAGAUAUAGAGGACAGCAUUAAGAAGCUUACUGACGAUGACUCCAACUGCAAGGAUCUAAACUUCAAUAACAUUAGGAACAUUUCUGAUGAGCAGUUUAAGCGUCUCUUUGAGUCUCUGGAGAACAACACCAAGCUGGAAAGUCUAAGUAUGGCAAACGUGGGCCUCUCAGACAGACACCUGGACCCUCUCACCAACGCUCUCUCUCAAAACGCCUCUCUCAGGACGCUAAAUUUGGAGACAAACAGCAUCAGUCCCGCUGGCAUCGUGCGCAUCAUGGAGUCCAUCUCAAAAACACACGUUGUGGAAGAGAUCCGUCUUGCAAACCAGAGGUCAAGUGUGCUGGGCAACAAGAUCGAGAUGCAACUCACAGAAAUUAUUGAGCAGAAUCCAUCAAUCUUGCGCGUCGGGAUUCACUUUGAGUUCAACGACGCUCGCAACCGCGUCUCCAAACAUCUGCAGAAAAACCUUGACACCUUCCGCAUAGGUGGAAAACCACGAAAACAAAAUAGGGCCAUGGCUCUUCUCAAAAAGGGCAUCGAUAUGGUUUGCAGAAGAGGAACUAAAGGCAAAUAAGAAUCUAUUCUACAACACUAAUGGACGAGAUCUUUAGGAUCAAGGGGUAGUAUUUUCAAGUUCGUGAGCUGCGUAUGGGUCAUAGAGUCAAGAGCUGUACUGUCGGCUUCCCACUCCUUCCUUCCUUCAUGCGUGUCCCUAGAGACCACGAUGAUGACGAGUACUAAGCCGUGGCCAGGAUGUCUGUUGCAUGAUGCCAUCGCAUUCUGCAAAGUUCGUUAUUACUGUUCAAUACUUAACUAGCAUCUCUAAUUUUUUUAUUACACAAAGUUUGAUUGUUUCCUUUGUUGUUCCUGGUUUAGAUUUUAAUUGACACAUCACAAUCCUUGACUCAAGCUUGGAAAUGGGUACAAUGGGUAUGGGCGUCAACACUCCCAUCCAUUGGCUCUUCACUCGACACGAUUCUUAAGUCCUAUGUACUAGUUUAAUCUGUAAUUAAUUUUUAAUUAAACUUUUUUAUACAUGCUAGAAGAGGUUGUAAAAAUUAUCACUUUUAUGUCAUGAGCACUAGUGGGCCAAGAUGCCACUGCGAUGGUAGCCUGCAGCCCCGGCCACUGCAGGGGUGGGCAAGUGUGUGGGUGUCUCCCUCCCUCCCCCCACACACACACACACACACACACACACACACACACACACACACACACACACACACACACACACACACACACACACACACACACCUGCCACUGAGCCGGAAGCUGACCCAGUCACCAAAGACUGAUAGGGUUUGUGAGCCACGCUGGGUUGUAUCAUCUUCCACGCUGGGAAGUUACUUGUAGCACGAUAGGGUUUUUUUUUAUUUAGCUUAAUUUAUUCCUGUUUGAGCAUAGUUUGUUUGCUCAAGUGAAUGAAAGUUGUGGUAGUGAAAGGUUUCAGAAGAUUGGCCACAAAGUAUCUAUAGGUAUGCUAUGUGGUGAAUAAACACCCAACAUUACAUUAUUCAACACCUGAGUAUUUCAAUGCCUGAGAGAGAGAAAGGUCCAUUUAUGAAUAUGUUAAUUGUUUAGUUUGUUAGACUCUUGAAUGAAAGACAACGUACUGUUAUACUACAACACUGACAUUUGGGACCUCGCAGCACGUCACUAGAUGGAGGAGGCGGCUUGUAUUAUGUCACGUCAGAACAAAGCUGAAACAUAAGUGGGAAUCUCACCUACACAUGUAUGCAAUGACAACACUUACUCUUUAAAGAUUAAAUGUUAAAUCACCUAAGACACACACACAGCUCAAACCUGAAUGAAUUAAUCUUUUUCAAUCUCACCAAAUUGUGUCAAAGUUGUGAAAUACUCCUUGAAGCACUGCCAGCAAUGCCAGUAAGGUGCGGCCCAUGGGGCGCCCCGCCGCCCACACAGCCGAGACCACAUUGCAUAAUAAGGGACUUGCACAAUCCAGAAAGUCACAGUGUGGCAGUACUACUUGUCCUCUCACAAGAAAAGCCCAAUUCUGACUGAAAUAAGGUAAUCUAAAGGUAACAAUUAUAAAACCAAGUGUCAUUAGGUCAGCAGGGAACUGCUGUGCUACAGGAUUAAGUGUGCUUAAUCUCUGUUGCCUGUGACAGAAUCUUUGUUCAUUGUUAAAUACACUAAAGACUUCAUGCAAGUGAUUAUUACUACUAUUACCAUUAAAGGAAAGAGAGAGAGAGAGAGAGAGAGAGAGAGAGAGUCAAGGAGCUGCAUCUGCUGUGAGUCACACAGGUUCUGUCACAGGCAAUUUUUCUAACACAUUCUGUGAUAGGGAAUGUAGUACUCCUAUAUGGUAAUUUUUUAUGCUACUGUGCUCAUUAUGAAUGAGUUUUGUAACAAAGUAUGUAUCAUGUUUAUCACGAGCAUCAUAGAAAAGACUGUUUAGUAGCAGUAUGUACAAAUAUUUAGUCCUUGUCUUUUAUUAUGCAUUUCUCACAGCUUGGCUUUUAAUGGAAAUUUUAGACUUUUCAAAUGAUCUAGGAUUCAAAUGUUACACUUAAGGAUUUACUGGACAUCUAUGGCAAGGGAACUUUGAUCAUUGUGUAUCAUGCAGCUGCUUGAGUUGGUUCCUAGUGAUAAGGAGACUAAAUUGUCAAACCCAACUCAUUGAAGAUUCCUAUGAUGUUUAUAUGACAGAAAUGUACAUAGGUAUUCAGUAAAGUUUUCUUUCCAUAGAAUAUAUGCAUCUCUUUCCCAA